ACAAUCUCUCUCUCUCUCUCUCUCUCUCUGUAACCUCCCUAGCAUUCGAAUGCAGUGCUCAAUGUCUCCGUCGCUGAUUACCUCUGUGCCCUAGUGCCGCCGACAAUCACUAUCUACCGCCUAUUUGAGAGGUUCUCUCUACGGUUCUUCUUGGAUCGGCCUUAAAAAAACGUACUGAGGGUUUGGUCUCUAGGGUUUCUUACCGCCAUGCCUCCUUGGCGUAAACGAGGAGCGAACAAAGCAAAGGCCAAGACUCAGUUGAGUUUGGGAGAUCUCGUUCUUGCCAAGGUCAAGGGCUUCCCUGCGUGGCCUGCGAAGAUUAGCAGACCAGAAGAUUGGGAUCGAACACCUGACCCAAAGAAGUAUUUUGUCCAAUUCUUUGGAACUCAAGAAAUAGCUUUUGUUGCCCCUGCGGAAAUUCAAGAAUUUACUGGUGAGGUGAAGAACAAAUUGUCUGCUCGGUGCCAAGGCAAAACGGUUAAGCCAUUUGCUCAAGCUGUAAAGGAAAUUUGUGAAGCUUUUGAACAAUUAGAGCAAAAAAAAUCAGGGGAAUUGAGAGUUGAUACUAAUGGAUCUGCCAUUGGGUGUGAGGCACCUUCUGUCGAUGGGUUAGAUGAUGAUGGAGUGGAGCUUGAGUCAAAAGAUGGGGUUGGUGUGACUGGGCCAAAUGAAGAAUCAGAGUUAGAGGGCCUAAACAAUGGUGGCUCAAGGUUGGAGUAUACCUCGCAUGGAGAAGGCAAGAAAGAUGGUCAAGAUGUGAAGCCUUCCAUAUCAUGUAACAAAAAUAAUACUUCUUCUCAAGUUGCAACAACUAAGAAAAAGAAUAAAGUGUUCAAUGAGGGUUUACGUUUACCAAAGAAGGAGGCAGUGUCAGCAUCCAGUCCUGCCACUCUUUCCUGUAUGAAGGAAGAAAUUUCUGGCGAUAAAAAGGAAGAUAUUGUGGAUCAUGCUGAACAGGUAGUGUCUGAUACAAAAGGAAACAGUUGUUUAUCCGACACAGAGAGAGACUCCUCUUAUGACCUGGUUGAUAAAAGAAAAGGUUCUCCAUCUUUGGCUGCAUCAGUUCGUGUCUGUCAUGCUGUUGGUGGCCAGAGGGCAUUGACAAAUGGUCACAAGUCAAAGAGAUUAGCUGCUGGGUCAAAGAAAAAAUGUGAUGGUACAGGCCUAGUGCAUAAGGGCCAUAGCCCGGAUUUAACAUCAAUGAAAUUUGAUAAGUCUGUUGGUCACUCAGAGUCUAGUGAGGAUUUGAAGGGUGGGAUGCAAAGCAAAGUUGUUCCAUGUGAGAGUGUCAAAGAAUUCUCUCCUGAUGUGGUGAAGUCAGAGUCAGAUGUCAGUAGCAGACAGAGAACAAAGAAAUUACUUAAAGCUAAAAAAAAUCCUGAGGUAGUGGAUGGUUUACAGGGCUCCGUAGUGAAGUUUAAGGAUAAAAAACUUGCUCAUGGAAAGCCUGAUUUGGUUACUAGUGGAGCAUUGAAUGCUGUCAAAACUUCAAAGCACGUUGAUACGGUGGAUGAUGUUACUGAGAGACUGCAGUUUAAAGACGGAAAUAGUGAUUCUACAAGUUACAGUGUUGGCAAUAACAAAGUGGAUAAACAUGCAGAAUUCAGAACAUCUGCUUCACGGGUGAAAGCUGAAAGCCGUCUGGCAUCAAAACUGCAGGCGGGUCCUCCUGAGUCUGACAAUGCUGGUGAUGAAGCUGUUCUUCCCUUAUCCAAACGCCGUCGGCGGGCAUUGGAGGCUAUGUCUGAUUCUACUAUGUUAACUUCUGAAGGUAAAACAGAAAAUAAUUCUGCCAUUGUUAAGAAUGCUGUGUCGUGUCCUAACAAUGUUAGGGUUCCAGCCACUCAAGUGCGUGCAAAACGAAGAGCUGUUUGUCUUGAUGAAGAUGAUGAUGAGGAGCCCAAAACACCUGUUCAUGGAGGAUCCUCCAGAAAUAUUAAUGUAGCUUCUAGUGUAUCUGAUUUUGUCAAGAAAGUGGAUACAAGUAAUGGAAGUUCUAAUUCUGCUCAACAAAGUGUUAAAGAUUUGGGUGGUUCUGAGAAUAGUCCUUUGAAGGGAAGCAUACCAUCUGCCAAAUCCCAUAAUGAAUCCUUUUCACCUAGCCUGCAGCAAACUGAGAAGAGAACUAAAAAGAUAGCAGGUGCUCCUGUGAGCCAUAGCCCUGGGAAAUUGGAAUCUGAGAAAUUAUCUUCCAAGGAGGUUAGACCAAGCAUUGUUUCUCCUAAAAAAUCUCCUCUCUCUGUUGCUGCCACCAAAACAUCAGCAGAACAACAGAAAGCCAUCAAACCCCUGGUUAAAGUAUCCAGUUCUGGUUCUCAGAAAAAGGCUUCGGCUGGAUCUGGCAAAGGUUCAGGUCUGGCUUCUGAUGGUUUGAACUCUACUCAGAAUCAAAUGCCAAUUCAAAAAAAUAAGCCAAUUUCUUCUGGAGAAAGAGCGAAAUCCACCCCCAAAACAAAUGCACGUUCAAAUGAUACCCCUGUUUUAGUGGAAAAUUUGAUAGAAAACAAUCCUUUACAUAGUGAAAGACUGGAAGAUGAUAGAACUAGUUCAUUGGCCAACACCAAGCAUGUGGAUUCUGUUAUGUCUAUGAAGCAUCUUAUUGCAGCUGCUCAGGCAAAAAGGAGACAGACUCACUCUCAAAAUCCUUUGCCCAGCAAUUUCAAUUCUGCCUUUGUAUCUGCUAGUGAUGUCCAAGGGAGCCCCAGCCCCGGUUCUGCUAUCCCAGCAUUUUUAUCUGGCACCAGUAAUGUGUCGCAGGCGGAAGUACAUGGAUUUUAUUCUCGUGCAACUUCAGUGGCUUCUCCAUCUGCCCAUGGUCGUCAAUUUGCAUCACAUAAUCAGCUUGAUCUUGAAGAAUUUGAGGAGAGAAGGGUUAGUUCAGGACAUCGGGCUGCUGGGGGUUCACUCAGUGGUGGUACUGAGGCAGCUGUUGCUCGUGAUGCGUUUGAGGGAAUGAUUGAAACAUUGUCAAGGACUAAAGAAAGUAUAGGUCGUGCAACCCGUCUUGCAAUUGAUUGUGCCAAGUAUGGCAUUGCCAAUGAGGUUGUGGAACUUCUCAUUAGAAAGUUGGAAAGUGAGCCAAGUUUUCAUCGCAGAGUGGAUCUUUUCUUUCUUGUUGAUUCUAUUACCCAAUGCUCACAUAGCCAGAAAGGCAUUGCUGGAGCCUCGUAUAUUCCUACUGUUCAGGCUGCAUUGCCUCGUCUUUUAGGUGCUGCUGCACCACCUGGAGCUAGUGCUCGCGAAAAUCGUCGGCAGUGUCUUAAGGUACUGCGUUUAUGGCUUGAGCGGAAAAUUUUGCCCGAUUCUCUUCUUCGGCGUUACAUGGAUGACAUUGGAGUUUCCAGUGAUGAGAUGGCUGCUGGUUUUUUCCUUAGGCGCCCAUCCCGAGUUGAGCGUGCUGUAGAUGAUCCUAUCCGAGAGAUGGAAGGCAUGCUUGUUGAUGAGUAUGGGAGCAAUGCUACAUUUCAGUUGCCUGGUUUUUUAUCUUCUCAUGUUUUUGAAGACGAAGAAGAUGAUCUUCCAAGCAAGGAACUUGGUGAUGCAUCACCCAUAGAACCCAUCCGUGCUCUGGGUGAGGUAGAAACAUGUAUGGUCACUCCAAAUGACAGGCGUCACUGCAUCUUGGAGGACGUGGAUGGUGAGCUUGAAAUGGAAGAUGUGUCUGGACACCCAAAAGAUGAAAAACCCUUGUUCGCAAAUGAUUCCAUGGAGAUGGACUUGCAGCAUCUGGGUUGUGAUAGGAUAUUGGAAUCAACUUCAAAUAUUUCAAUUGAUCUGCCCCCUUUGCCGGAGGGAUCUCCCCCAUUACCACUUGAUUCUCCUCCUUCUCCCCCACCUUUGCCUCCUUCACCACCGCCACCACUUGCACCACCGCCCCCCCCACCUCCACCGCCGCCACCACCACCGUUAUCUCCAUCGCCUCCACCGCCACCACCUCCUCCUCCAUCACAACCACCUCCACCUCCUUUACCACCUUCAGGGCCACCGCCCUCAUUGUUUGCUCAACCUCCCCUACCACCCCAACCUUCAUUAUUGUCUCAACCUUUAAUACCAUCUCAACCCCCACGAUCAUCGUCUUCACCAAAUGUGGCUUAUCAACCAUCUGUACCUAGUGAAUAUUGUGGCACCCCUAAUGGAAACCAACUAGUUCACAUGCCUGGAAAUGCCCCCCAUGGGAGACACAUAGAUGCUGCUGUGAAAAGUGAGAUGUUUCCCCAGCCUUCACCUUGUUUCAUGCCAACAGGAGUUCAAAAUCCAAGAGAACCUUCUGGAUAUAAUUCAUCAAAACCAUUAGAAUAUGGUCACAAUGAUGCAUAUUUGAACCCCCAAACAUCUCAAGCCAACCACCAAUUUCAAUCUGGUAAUACUGCGUUUGCACAGAGACCUUUCCAUCCUGUUCCACCUCCUCAAACAGCACCCAGUCAUUUUUCGUAUCCAAAGCCCACAGCACAGCAACAUCAGCAACAUCUUUAUGCCCGCCCAUAUUCGUUGCCGUCCCUUCCUGACGGGCGGAGGCGAUAUGCUGCUGAUGAACAGUGGAGGAUGCCCUCUGGCGAAUUAAAUGUAGAUAAUCAGCGGAGUGUGUGGAUGAGCGGAGGGAGAACUCCAUGUUCAGGCCCACCUUUUGUCCAAGAAGGUUAUCUUCGGCCACCUGCUGAAAGACCUCCUACCAACAAUGUGGUUUUCCAACCCCCGAAUGCUUUGCCUGCUGGAGGUCCAAUUCCAGGUCAUGGUGUUUCCCAGAUGUUGCCAUCUAGACCAGACAUUGCUGCCGUAAAUUGUUGGAGGCCAGGAUAGCAGUUAACCUGAAACUCCAGUUUGUAACUUCAUGCCAUAGGCGGUAGAAUCAAUUGGAAGUUUAAGAAAAGGUCAUAUUGCUUUGAAAGUGAAUGUUUGGAUGAAGCCUGAUUUAAAGGUGGCGUCAAGAGCCUUUGGAUACAGUUGGCAGGGCUGUGUAUAUUGUAAAUUUCCCUGACAAAUGCAUCCUGUGGAUUUUUUGCUUCCUAAUGUUUUGGCAACAUAGUUAACCUGACUUGCCACCAUUUAUGGGGCUUCAUUUUGGAAACCCACCAAGGAAUAAGGUCAAAACAUGCCUGAUUAGUCUUCUGCAAAAUGUUGAGGUAACCUAGAAAGGCAUGCGGGGCGGCUCAGAGGUAGAGGAGGCAGCUGAGUCGGCGUAGAUUUGGGGUGAGUCUUGUGCUGAGUUAUAUAGUCCUCAACAUUUUGGGAUUUUUGGGGUAAUGAUGUGUAUGUGUGUGUGUAUAUAUAUAGGUGGAUUUGUAGCACUUUGGUAUUGUGUAUUUUGGAAUAUGGUUUGAAUGCCUAGGUUUUCCGCUGCAUAGGCAUUAUACAAGAUAUGUACAGGUUACCAUGACUCCCACUCCGAGUCAUGAUGAUGACAAAUAUUUACACGUAGGGUAUCAGAGGUUAUAUAUAUAUGGUCUAAAAAAAAUGGUAUGAAUUUUUAGGUUGUUACAGCAUGGGAUGAUUCAGACUCAAGUGAUUAAGAAAAAGCCACUUGUUGCUUGAUGGCAUUAAACGAUGAAGAGGUGCACAUCUCUUCCUCUACCUCUUGUAAUAUUGUAAUGAAUCCUGUGAUGAAUCAUAUUAUAAUUCUUGUGGUGA
RNA transcript from Malania oleifera, 5625 nucleotides. It is a transcript of the gene named ENHANCER OF AG-4 protein 2-like, with no coding region annotated. The transcript is spliced from 14 exons. NCBI's taxonomy places the organism in Eukaryota, Viridiplantae, Streptophyta, Magnoliopsida, Santalales, Ximeniaceae. The record is from RefSeq and is a predicted model, not a curated record.